GGCUCAGGAUGAACGCUGGCGGCGUGCUUAACACAUGCAAGUCGAACGAUGACCUCCAGCUUGCUGGGGUGAUUAGUGGCGAACGGGUGAGUAACACGUGAGUAACCUGCCCUUAACUCUGGGAUAAGCCUGGGAAACUGGGUCUAAUACCGGAUAUGACUCCUCAUCGCAUGGUGGGGGGUGGAAAGCUUUUUGUGGUUUUGGAUGGACUCGCGGCCUAUCAGCUUGUUGGUGAGGUAAUGGCUCACCAAGGCGACGACGGGUAGCCGGCCUGAGAGGGUGACCGGCCACACUGGGACUGAGACACGGCCCAGACUCCUACGGGAGGCAGCAGUGGGGAAUAUUGCACAAUGGGCGAAAGCCUGAUGCAGCGACGCCGCGUGAGGGAUGACGGCCUUCGGGUUGUAAACCUCUUUCAGUAGGGAAGAAGCGAAAGUGACGGUACCUGCAGAAGAGGCGCCGGCUAACUACGUGCCAGCAGCCGCGGUAAUACGUAGGGCGCAAGCGUUAUCCGGAAUUAUUGGGCGUAAAGAGCUCGUAGGCGGUUUGUCGCGUCUGCCGUGAAAGUCCGGGGCUCAACUCCGGAUCUGCGGUGGGUACGGGCAGACUAGAGUGAUGUAGGGGAGACUGGAAUUCCUGGUGUAGCGGUGAAAUGCGCAGAUAUCAGGAGGAACACCGAUGGCGAAGGCAGGUCUCUGGGCAUUAACUGACGCUGAGGAGCGAAAGCAUGGGGAGCGAACAGGAUUAGAUACCCUGGUAGUCCAUGCCGUAAACGUUGGGCACUAGGUGUGGGGGACAUUCCACGUUUUCCGCGCCGUAGCUAACGCAUUAAGUGCCCCGCCUGGGGAGUACGGCCCGCAGGCUAAAACUC
Molecule: ribosomal RNA, 871 nt
Filed under: uncultured bacterium
Lineage: Bacteria
Description: bacterial SSU rRNA
Rfam family: Bacterial small subunit ribosomal RNA
Source: RNAcentral